This is a non-coding RNA of Tinamus guttatus (white-throated tinamou), 272 nucleotides long. The record is from RefSeq and is a predicted model, not a curated record. Lineage: Eukaryota; Metazoa; Chordata; Aves; Tinamiformes; Tinamidae.
GCAAGUGGCGGACAUGAACAUGUGUAGGAGAAACGCAGGUGUGUGCGCCGUGAAUGGGCUCCUCUACGUGGUUGGAGGGGACGAUGGCUCCUGUAACUUGGCCUCUGUGGAGUACUACAACCCCAUCACCGACAAGUGGACGUUGUUACCAACCAGCAUGAGCACUGGAAGAAGUUACGCAGGUGUGGCUGUGAUUCACAAACCCUUGUGACACCAACCGAGGUGGUGCGAGAAGCAGAAGUAAACUGGAUCCAGCUGCGUGGCAUUGGGAA